This 253-nucleotide ribosomal RNA is filed under the name uncultured bacterium. Its description in RNAcentral is "partial 16S ribosomal RNA". It matches the Rfam family "Bacterial small subunit ribosomal RNA", at positions 524 to 776 of the family's 1533-position model. The record is from RNAcentral.
UACGAAGGGGGCUAGCGUUGCUCGGAAUCACUGGGCGUAAAGGGUGCGUAGGCGGGUCUUUAAGUCAGGGGUGAAAUCCUGGAGCUCAACUCCAGAACUGCCUUUGAUACUGAAGAUCUUGAGUCCGGGAGAGGUGAGUGGAACUGCGAGUGUAGAGGUGAAAUUCGUAGAUAUUCGCAAGAACACCAGUGGCGAAGGCGGCUCACUGGCCCGGUACUGGCGCUGAGGCACGAAAGCGUGGGGAGCAAACAGG